UGGGGAAUAUUGGACAAUGGGGGCAACCCUGAUCCAGCGAUGCCGCGUGAGUGAUGAAGGCCUUAGGGUUGUAAAGCUCUUUCGUCAGGGAAGAUAAUGACGGUACCUGAAGAAGAAGAUCCGGCUAACUCCGUGCCAGCAGCCGCGGUAAUACGGAGGGAUCUAGCGUUAUUCGGAAUUACUGGGCGUAAAGCGAGCGUAGGCGGAUUUGUAAGUUGGAGGUGAAAUCCCAGAGCUUAACUCUGGAACUGCCUUCAAAACUACAUUUCUUGAGUUUGGUAGAGGAGAGUGGAAUUCCUAGUGUAGAGGUGAAAUUCGUAGAUAUUAGGAGGAACACCAGUGGCGAAGGCGACUCUCUGGGCCAAUACUGACGCUGAGGUUCGAAAGCAUGGGUAGCGAACAGG
Molecule: ribosomal RNA, 404 nt
Filed under: uncultured bacterium
Lineage: Bacteria
Description: bacterial SSU rRNA
Rfam family: Bacterial small subunit ribosomal RNA
Source: RNAcentral